RNAcentral lists this transfer RNA (73 nucleotides) under Bdellovibrionales bacterium. Its description in RNAcentral is "tRNA-Glu". It matches the Rfam family "tRNA". Rfam says of the family: Transfer RNA (tRNA) molecules are approximately 80 nucleotides in length. Their secondary structure includes four short double-helical elements and three loops (D, anti-codon, and T loops). Lineage: Bacteria; Pseudomonadati; Bdellovibrionota; Bdellovibrionia; Bdellovibrionales. The record is from RNAcentral.
GGCCCCAUCGUCUAGUGGCCCAGGACGUCAGCCUCUCACGCUGAAAACGCGGGUUCGAGUCCCGCUGGGGUCA